UUAAGUUCAGCGGGUAUUCCUACCUGAUUCGAGGUCAACCACGUAAAAGAGGGGGUUUUCCGGCCGGACAACGUCCCAGACCCAGAACGAGAUGUAUUACUGCGUUCGGUUUUGGGGCGCCGCCGCCGCUUGCUUUAGGAGGCUGCAGUGCAGUCCUCCAACGCCAGGCAGGGCCUGAGGGUUGCAAUGACGCUCGAACA
RNAcentral lists this unclassified non-coding RNA (200 nucleotides) under Chloridium sp. Its description in RNAcentral is "partial internal transcribed spacer 2". The record is from RNAcentral. Lineage: Eukaryota; Fungi; Ascomycota; Sordariomycetes; Chaetosphaeriales; Chaetosphaeriaceae.